RNAcentral lists this ribosomal RNA (402 nucleotides) under bacterium. RNAcentral describes it as "partial 16S ribosomal RNA". It matches the Rfam family "Bacterial small subunit ribosomal RNA", at positions 355 to 776 of the family's 1533-position model. The record is from RNAcentral.
UGGGGAAUUUUGCACAAUGGGGGAAACCCUGAUGCAGCGACGCCGCGUGAUUUAGAAGGCCUUCGGGUUGUAAAAAUCUUUUUUACGGGAUGAAAAUGACAGUACCGUAAGAAUAAGGUCCGGCUAAAUACGUGCCAGCAGCCGCGGUAAUACGUAUGGACCGAGCGUUGUCCGGAAUCAUUGGGCGUAAAGGGUACGUAGGCGGACUAGUAAGUUAGAAGUGAAAUAAUAUAGCUCAACUCUAUAAAGCUUUUGAAACUGGUAGGCUUGAGAGAUGGAAGGGAAAGUGGAAUUCCUAGUGUAGCGGUGAAAUGCGCAGAUAUUAGGAAGAAUACCGGUGGCGAAGGCGACUUUCUGGUCAUCAUCUGACGCUGAGGGACGAAAGCGUGGGUAGCAAAAAGG